UACGUAGGUGGCGAGCGUUGUCCGGAUUUACUGGGCGUAAAGGGAGCGUAGGCGGACUUUUAAGUGAGAUGUGAAAUACCCGGGCUCAACUUGGGUGCUGCAUUUCAAACUGGAAGUCUAGAGUGCAGGAGAGGAGAAUGGAAUUCCUAGUGUAGCGGUGAAAUGCGUAGAGAUUAGGAGGAACACCAGUGGCGAAGGCGGCUCUCUGGUCUGCCCCUGACGCUGAGAUGCGAAAGCUAGGUUAGCGAACGGGAUUAGAUACCCGUGUA
This 269-nucleotide ribosomal RNA is filed under the name uncultured prokaryote. RNAcentral's name for it is "partial 16S ribosomal RNA". It matches the Rfam family "Bacterial small subunit ribosomal RNA", at positions 524 to 792 of the family's 1533-position model. The record is from RNAcentral.